This 816-nucleotide long non-coding RNA is filed under the name Marmota monax (woodchuck). The record is from RNAcentral. Lineage: Eukaryota; Metazoa; Chordata; Mammalia; Rodentia; Sciuridae.
GUACUUCUUGUUUCAGACCUGUUACCCAGAUAAAUGCCCAGAACCUGCAUUUUUAAGAAUACCCAUCUGUAAGUGCUAACGAAAGAUCUUUUUCAGGCAAAAUCUAAUUCCACAGUUUCCUUCGUUCCUUGCAGCCCUAAGCCGGACUUGCUCUCAAGGCCAAAUAACUUGAUUUCUUACCCCUCAGCAGCUUCCCUUGGGACCCUUCCUUUUCCUCCCUAUGGUUAUGUUGCUAAAUGUUGCUAUCUCACAUUUCGCUUUUAAUUUUGAAAGUUAUGGGGAUGCAUUUGCUUAUCGCAGAAAGAAACCUUAUUCUUGUUCCUGACUGUGUAAUUACAAGAAAUAAGUAAAUGUAUACACAAGGAUCAUCAGCCACAUCACGUGACAUCGCAUGCAAGCAUGCACUCCUAGUUAAGAGCAAAUUGAAAUGGAUCCAAAAUAUCAUAAGAUCCACGUGGUUACAUAAAGUUAAUCAAUUAUAUUGUAUUAAUUACAGGUGAUGUAUAUUGUAUUAAUUAUCUACAGAAAUAUCAAGGACUUUAACUGUGUUUUCAUUGAUAUUUCUUUCCUUUUUUUAUAUAUAUUUUUGAAAGUUGUUGAUGGACCUUUACUUUUUAAAUUUAUUUGUAUGUAGUGUCGAGAAUUGAAGCCAGUGCCUCAUGCAUGCCUGGCAAGCAUGCUACCACCGAGCCACAACUCCAGCCCUCAUUGAUAUUUCCUUUUAUCAAGGUACAAACAUUCUAAGGUUUUCAGAAAUUAUUUCAAAGUAUAACCAGGAAAAAUUCUAAAAGGAAUUUCAACAGAGGAGAAGCACAC